GUUCUAACUUAGACCCAUUAUCUGGGUUGAGGACAGUGCCUGGUGGGUAGUUUGACUGGGGCGGUCUCCUCCCAAAGAGUAACGGAGGAGCACGAAGGUGGGCUAAUCACGGUUGGACAUCGUGAGGUUAGUGCAAUGGCAUAAGCCCGCUUAACUGCGAGAAUGACGGUUCGAGCAGGUGCGAAAGCAGGUCAUAGUGAUCCGGUGGUUCUGUAUGGAAGGGCCAUCGCUCAACGGAUAAAAGGUACUCCGGGGAUAACAGGCUGAUACCGCCCAAGAGUUCAUAUCGACGGCGGUGUUUGGCACCUCGAUGUCGGCUCAUCACAUCCUGGGGCUGAAGUCGGUCCCAAGGGUAUGGCUGUUCGCCAUUUAAAGUGGUACGCGAGCUGGGUUUAGAACGUCGUGAGACAGUUCGGUCCCUAUCUGCCGUGGGCGUUGGAAGAUUGAAGGGGGCUGCUCCUAGUACGAGAGGACCGGAGUGGACGAACCUCUGGUGUUCGGGUUGUGUCGCCAGACGCAUUGCCCGGUAGCUAAGUUCGGAAUUGAUAAGCGCUGAAAGCAUCUAAGCGCGAAGCGAGCCCUGAGAUGAGUCUUCCCUGACAGUUUAACUGUCCUAAAGGGUUGUUCGAGACUAGAACGUUGAUAGGCAGGGUGUGUAAGCGUUGUGAGGCGUUGAGCUAACCUGUACUAAUUGCCCGUGAGGCUUAACCAU
This 712-nucleotide ribosomal RNA is filed under the name Vibrio cholerae CIRS101. RNAcentral's name for it is "bacterial LSU rRNA". It matches the Rfam family "Bacterial large subunit ribosomal RNA", at positions 2219 to 2925 of the family's 2925-position model. Lineage: Bacteria; Pseudomonadati; Pseudomonadota; Gammaproteobacteria; Vibrionales; Vibrionaceae. The record is from RNAcentral.